This 492-nucleotide ribosomal RNA is filed under the name uncultured bacterium. RNAcentral's name for it is "partial 16S ribosomal RNA". It matches the Rfam family "Bacterial small subunit ribosomal RNA", at positions 28 to 507 of the family's 1533-position model. The record is from RNAcentral.
GGUGAACGCUGGCGGUAGGCCUAACACAUGCAAGUCGAACGGCAGCACAGUAAGAGCUUGCUCUUACGGGUGGCGAGUGGCGGACGGGUGAGGAAUACAUCGGAAUCUACUUUUUCGUGGGUGAUAACGUAGGGAAACUUACGCUAAUACCGCAUACGACCUACGGGUGAAAGCAGGGGAUCUUCCGACCUUGCGCGAGUGAAUGAGCCGAUGUCGGAUUAGCUAGUUGGCGGGGUAAAGGCCCACCAAGGCGACGAUCCGUAGCUGGUCUGAGAGGAUGAUCAGCCACACUGGAACUGAGACACGGUCCAGACUCCUACGGGAGGCAGCAGUGGGGAAUAUUGGACAAUGGGCGCAAGCCUGAUCCAGCCAUACCGCGUGGGUGAAGAAGGCCUUCGGGUUGUAAAGCCCUUUUGUUGGGAAAGAAAAGCAGCAGGUUAAUACCCCGCUGUUCUGACGGUACCCAAAGAAUAAGCACCGGCUAACUUCGUG